This 433-nucleotide ribosomal RNA is filed under the name uncultured bacterium. RNAcentral describes it as "partial 16S ribosomal RNA". It matches the Rfam family "Bacterial small subunit ribosomal RNA", at positions 29 to 507 of the family's 1533-position model. The record is from RNAcentral.
AGCGAACGCUGGCGGCAGGCCUAACACAUGCAAGUCGAACGAACUCUUCGGAGUUAGUGGCGGACGGGUGAGUCACACGUGGGAACGUUCCUUUUGGUUCGGAAUAACUCAGGGAAACUUGUGCUAAUACCGAAUGUGCCCUUCGGGGGAAAGAUUUAUCGCCAUUAGUGCGGCCCUCGUCUGAUUAGCUAGUUGGUGAGGUAACGGCUCACCAAGGCGACGAUCAGUAGCUGGUCUGAGAGGAUGACCAGCCACACUGGGACUGAGACACGGCCCAGACUCCUACGGGAGGCAGCAGUGGGGAAUCUUGCGCAAUGGGCGAAAGCCUGACGCAGCCAUGCCGCGUGAAUGAUGAAGGUCUUAGGAUUGUAAAAUUCUUUCAACGGGGACGAUAAUGACGGUACCCGGAGAAGAAGCCCCGGCUAACUUCGUG